This 1492-nucleotide ribosomal RNA is filed under the name Lacticaseibacillus paracasei. Its description in RNAcentral is "bacterial SSU rRNA". It matches the Rfam family "Bacterial small subunit ribosomal RNA". Lineage: Bacteria; Bacillati; Bacillota; Bacilli; Lactobacillales; Lactobacillaceae. The record is from RNAcentral.
GAUGAACGCUGGCGGCGUGCCUAAUACAUGCAAGUCGAACGAGUUCUCGUUGAUGAUCGGUGCUUGCACCGAGAUUCAACAUGGAACGAGUGGCGGACGGGUGAGUAACACGUGGGUAACCUGCCCUUAAGUGGGGGAUAACAUUUGGAAACAGAUGCUAAUACCGCAUAGAUCCAAGAACCGCAUGGUUCUUGGCUGAAAGAUGGCGUAAGCUAUCGCUUUUGGAUGGACCCGCGGCGUAUUAGCUAGUUGGUGAGGUAAUGGCUCACCAAGGCGAUGAUACGUAGCCGAACUGAGAGGUUGAUCGGCCACAUUGGGACUGAGACACGGCCCAAACUCCUACGGGAGGCAGCAGUAGGGAAUCUUCCACAAUGGACGCAAGUCUGAUGGAGCAACGCCGCGUGAGUGAAGAAGGCUUUCGGGUCGUAAAACUCUGUUGUUGGAGAAGAAUGGUCGGCAGAGUAACUGUUGUCGGCGUGACGGUAUCCAACCAGAAAGCCACGGCUAACUACGUGCCAGCAGCCGCGGUAAUACGUAGGUGGCAAGCGUUAUCCGGAUUUAUUGGGCGUAAAGCGAGCGCAGGCGGUUUUUUAAGUCUGAUGUGAAAGCCCUCGGCUUAACCGAGGAAGCGCAUCGGAAACUGGGAAACUUGAGUGCAGAAGAGGACAGUGGAACUCCAUGUGUAGCGGUGAAAUGCGUAGAUAUAUGGAAGAACACCAGUGGCGAAGGCGGCUGUCUGGUCUGUAACUGACGCUGAGGCUCGAAAGCAUGGGUAGCGAACAGGAUUAGAUACCCUGGUAGUCCAUGCCGUAAACGAUGAAUGCUAGGUGUUGGAGGGUUUCCGCCCUUCAGUGCCGCAGCUAACGCAUUAAGCAUUCCGCCUGGGGAGUACGACCGCAAGGUUGAAACUCAAAGGAAUUGACGGGGGCCCGCACAAGCGGUGGAGCAUGUGGUUUAAUUCGAAGCAACGCGAAGAACCUUACCAGGUCUUGACAUCUUUUGAUCACCUGAGAGAUCAGGCUUCCCCUUCGGGGGCAAAAUGACAGGUGGUGCAUGGUUGUCGUCAGCUCGUGUCGUGAGAUGUUGGGUUAAGUCCCGCAACGAGCGCAACCCUUAUGACUAGUUGCCAGCAUUUAGUUGGGCACUCUAGUAAGACUGCCGGUGACAAACCGGAGGAAGGUGGGGAUGACGUCAAAUCAUCAUGCCCCUUAUGACCUGGGCUACACACGUGCUACAAUGGAUGGUACAACGAGUUGCGAGACCGCGAGGUCAAGCUAAUCUCUUAAAGCCAUUCUCAGUUCGGACUGUAGGCUGCAACUCGCCUACACGAAGUCGGAAUCGCUAGUAAUCGCGGAUCAGCACGCCGCGGUGAAUACGUUCCCGGGCCUUGUACACACCGCCCGUCACACCAUGAGAGUUUGUAACACCCGAAGCCGGUGGCGUAACCCUUUUAGGGAGCGGGCCGUCUAAGGUGGGACAAAUGAUUAGGGUG